GCCGAGGUGGCGGAAUUGGCAGACGCGCAGGGCUUAGGACCCUGUGGGAAAAAUCCCUUGUGGGUUCAAAUCCCACCCUCGGCA
Molecule: transfer RNA, 84 nt
Filed under: Candidatus Parcubacteria bacterium
Lineage: Bacteria; Candidatus Parcubacteria
Description: tRNA-Leu
Rfam family: tRNA
About the family: Transfer RNA (tRNA) molecules are approximately 80 nucleotides in length.
Source: RNAcentral